GUUUGGGGUUGCCAUAUUCGGUUGCUUUGUACAGAAGCCAUGCACAGUUCCCUUGUCAAAAUCGAUUGGGAAGGCCUGAAUAUACAGCGUGUCCUAAGGUUCAUUAUGUUCUGGGUACACAUGCACCUCCUAGAAUAAAUGUGUUACAUGGAAAUCAGGAAUGACUGCUUGUUCUCAAGAAGUCUAAAAUACAAGGAGUGAUCAAAUAUAAACAGUGAUCUAGAAUUAUCUUCUCUGAAUGCCUCUGAAUUUCUGUCUCUCAUUUAUGGCCUUUCGUACCCCCUGCACUUCCCCUGCUUGAAAAGCUAUUAAUUUCCCCACCUCCCCAUCACCCUAGACUCUGAUCCCCAUAAACAAUCUAUGCUUUUUUUAUGUCCUCUUUUUUAAAAAUACAUUCCCUGUGUUUACUUUCUCAGUGGUGGCAUAUACGAGAAAGAAAACUGUGGAAACUCCGUGAGCAUGGCAGAUGCUUCCAGUCCUGUCUUUGCCACUUACAAGCUCUGUGUCUUUUGUUAAACAGAAAAUAUUUAUACUUUGGAGCACUUACCCUACAGCUGCGCUAAGGCUCCCAUAGAUGUAGCUCCAAGGAGCAGAGCCCCAGCCUUUUUGAUCCAGUGCAAGAAGUUUGGCAAGAGAACCUCUGGUAAGGGGCUUUCCGCGAGCAUGCUGCUUGUAGAAAGGCCAUGUCAGCCCCCCCCUCCCCCGCCAUUUAGAGCCGGGCAGUGAACCCCAUUCUGAGUAUCUUCCUCAACAUCAUGACCCACCUUCCUUCUUCUCCCUCCUGCUUCCCCCUUGUAACUGUCACCAAUAUCAACAAGCUCCAGUGACAACAAAAACCUGGCUGGGGUGGGGGGGUGCUCAAUCCCUGGUAGACAGUACUACAUGAUCUUCUAUGUAUGAGGUGUAGAGGCUUUGGGUGUCAAGGACAUCAUGAGACUUUCAGAAGAAGACCUAUGUACAUAACCUAUGUGUGCAUGGGGUGUGUGUAUGUUCUCCAUUGCCUGUGUUUAUAAUAUAUGUACUAAUCAUGAGCAUGAUAUGAUACAUAAUUCUGAACACACUACAAAUGAUGAUACUAUGAACACACACAUGGGAACACACAUGCAGCUUCCUGUGAUAGAACUUUAAAGACCCUGUUGGGCAGCCC
Molecule: long non-coding RNA, 1147 nt
Filed under: Vulpes vulpes (red fox)
Lineage: Eukaryota; Metazoa; Chordata; Mammalia; Carnivora; Canidae
Description: lncRNA (ENSVVUG00000013783.1)
Source: RNAcentral